CAGAAGGACUGUGAAAGUCAAUGGAGGCUUUCCCUUCAAAGCGUCGAUGUGCAGCUGAUUUAUCUCCCCUCACAAAUCCAUACCACCCCACUGAAAAGGGUGGUUGGAAGGUCAGCUCCUCUUUCCCUCCAAGGAUACCAGUGGAUUGAUGCUGGACAUUUCUCAUUGUUAAUGCCUCCUCCUGUGCCGCAUGAUCAACUACAGCCUUUGAUGAAAGUUUGAUCCUGUGGCAAAAGUAAAAGGGUUCAAAAGAGAAAAUGUAUAGGGAAUCUCCUUCUUCUAUUCCUGGUGCUCCAGUGACAACACAGAUGACAGAGAUGACUCAGAGGUGUCUCCCAUCCAUCGACAGAGACUCCAGGGAAACCCCACCCCCCACCUUGGACUAGAAAUGAAGCAUCAUGGGAAAGAUGACUCAGUCCAGCAGCUUGACAUGCACAAUGCGAGAGACUCCACCCUGACCUGUUGGGUGUAGUGAUGCAGAAAUGCAGUGUGUUUGACGAGGAGCUGUCAAACGCACGCCCUUUAGCUGAGCGGUGACAGAAUAGAUUUGACCGGAUUUAGUCCCCAGACGACAGCCUGCAAAUUAGAUAAAUGGAUGCAAAGAUGGCACUGUUGUUUAACCUCAUUUGCAGUUGGAGCUGAAACCACAGAGGAGGAGGAGACGGAGAGUGAUGUCAAGUAUGCAGAAGAAGAAAACAUGAGUAUAACAUCAUAGUUCUCUCCUCUUUAAAAACACAGCAUUAAAAAAAAUGAGAUUAUUUUGUGAAAUAGCAAUUUGUAUUUCUUUUCCCUGAUUUAUUUCUUCUUUUAUAUGACUCCCUUCAGGCGUAGUCACACUGGCAUACACAGACGUGUGUAUAUUCUAUGUUCAUCUAUGCCGGAUGUUCCUUUAUUUCUGUUCUGUGACUGUU
This is a long non-coding RNA of Scophthalmus maximus (turbot), 911 nucleotides long. RefSeq lists it as uncharacterized. NCBI's taxonomy places the organism in Eukaryota, Metazoa, Chordata, Actinopteri, Pleuronectiformes, Scophthalmidae. The record is from RefSeq and is a predicted model, not a curated record. The transcript is spliced from 3 exons.